UAGAAAUAGCUUCAUCCCUCUCUCUUUUGUACUCUUGUUUCAGUCACAUACUUUCUCUCUCUUGCACUUUUGAGUAAGGGAGGCAACAGGAAGCACAAGCAGAAGGUGACAACAAUGUGAACUUGCCUAGGAAAACCCAUUAGGACCAUAUUGGUCCCCUUUUGGAAUACAAACCAACCAUGAGCAAUCUGGAGCAUUCCCAGCUUUAGUAGCUAUCAGCUGAGUUGGAAACUACAAGGACUCUGGAUUUGAGUGUGGUCUGAUCCACUGGGCAUACUCUUUUCAUAAGAGCAGAGAUUCUUGGAGAUGAUGACUGUGAUGAGAUCAUCAUAGAGCUGAUAGACAUUCCAAGUAAUGUCCUGGCUGACCAGGAGUUCCAGAAAUUAUCUCUGCCAGAAGGUGGGUAGCACAGCUAAAUCCACUGGAAUCAUGGUAGUCAAGGAAAUUAGCACUUCACUUGAGUUGCUUCCAGUCUAUAUACUUUGGUCCCUCCACCACAGCAUAGUCAAGAAAGCCAAUGAAGUACACAGUUGUCUGACUCUUUCUGACCCCAUCUGGAAUUUCCUCGGCAAAGAUAUUGGAGUGGUUCGUUAUUUCCUUCUCCAGCUCAUUUGACAGAUGAGGAAGCCAAAGGGAAUGAGGUUAAGUGACUUAUCCAUGGACAUAUUAUUAGUAAGCAUCUGAGGCCAGCUGAUUUGAACUAUGGAAGAUGAAUUUUCCUUAUUCUGCCUGGACACUCUGCCCCUUUGCUUCCCCAACUUUGUCUAUUACCCGUUUGGAAUUUCACUUCCUUUUCGCUGGGAGGCACAAUGGUAUAGGACAAUGGAGCCAAUCUCGACCAGAUAUAGACACCUGCAAUCUAGAGUGACUUAGAAAGUCACAAAUGAACAGUAUCGAUGCUGUAUUAUAUUUUAAAAAAUUGUUAAACAUUUCCUGAUCACAUUUUAAUCUGGUUCCAGUCACAUUUGGAGUUGUGCUGGCAGCAUGCAGCCUGUGUGGUGAACUUGACACCUCUGUUGCAGAAGGUAGUAUAUUGGACUUGGGGUUACAAAAACCGGAUUUUUUUAUUCAAAUAUUUUAUUUGCCCAAUUAUAUGUAAUAACAAUUUUCAACAUAUGUUUUCUAAAGUUACAAGAUCCAAAUUGUCUCCCCUACACUCUUCCCUCCCACCUCUUGAAGAUGGUAAGCAAUUUGAUCUGCGUUAUACAUGAGAAUGCAAAAUAUAUUUCCAUAUUGGUCAUUGAAAUACAGAUUUCUUAUCUUGCUUCCGACAUAAGUUAUUAUCAUAGUUCAAGUCAGUUAGCCUCUCUGAACCACUUGUUUUAAUCUGUUAAAUGGGGACAAUAAUAUCUGAAGUCUCUAUGAGGUGAGAACAUCAUAAAGUUAAAUUUGAUCCUAGUUCCAAAGGCCUUUGCAUGCUGUGGAAGUCAAUUACUAUCACUGGGGAUUGGGUAGGGGGACCUUUCAGUCACAUAAUGAACUUUGGGCCAUAUAUAUUAAGAUUGGAAUGUUUUUGGAACAACACAUCAAAGUUCCAUAGAACAUGUUUCCCAGUGACAGCUUCGGUUUAGGCAAGGAACUUCAUGUGGGCAAGGAACAUCCAUUUUGUCAUCUG
Molecule: long non-coding RNA, 1615 nt
Organism: Monodelphis domestica (gray short-tailed opossum)
Lineage: Eukaryota; Metazoa; Chordata; Mammalia; Didelphimorphia; Didelphidae
Source: Ensembl